CGGGACCCACUGCCAUAUCAUCUUCGUCUUCAAGCUGGACACGAACAGACGACGACUGCUGCGUUUUUCAGUUUCUGUGUGUUUACUCUCCAAUUCAUUCUGGGCGUUUUAAGGCACCAUUUGACGCACCGUUUCUUCCUACUUAAGCUCCAUUCCCUCCUCUUCAUUUCCCCCCAAACGGCACGCCUAGAGAGCCCCCAGGCUGCUCGAAUUUUGCCUCGCAUGUCCGCAGUACCGUCGCGGUAAAUCGUCGAUUGCGCGACGGCGCCAUCUUCGACUGUGAGCACGUACGCGAGAGGUUUUCCGGCGAGCAACUCCGGCGAACCAGUGCACCGUCGACAUCCCCUGAACCGCCGCAGUGAGCCGCCCCUUGUCUGCGCCUCGGCCGAGCCGGGAAGCGCCUGGAACGCCAACAGCGAGAUCGACCAGGCCGCAGCCUCCGUCACCACCAUCACCGGCGCCACGUCACCAUCGCCACCUCGUCACCACGUCGCCGCCACAUUGCGACUGUGACAGCUGCAAGCGUUGUGACUGCGAAGAUUGCAACUCUUCCCUCUGAAAAGGCAAGUGACACACACCAAAAGUCCCAGUUUUAAUUCUUGCACCGUAGUGUUUUAUAGUAGACAUGUCUAGGGUUUAUGCUUUAUGCCUGCUAAUAAAUCCUAGUAGUUUAGCUACACCACUCCUAGACUCCUUUAGCCGCCAUUAAAUUUAGUUGUUACCUGCUAUGCCAUGGAAAAUGUUUUGAUAGAGGUUAAGGAAAAACAACUAAGUUUAAUGAAUUACCUGGGUGAAUGGUGGAGUUAUGGAGAGGGUGGCUGUAUCAGGGGGCAAGACCCUGGUGCUAGUGCACACUUGCGGAAAGUCACCCAGGCUUAAAGAGAUUGUAGACAAACCUUGCUCAUUAGCUUCCCGUACAACCACAUGCUACUAUGGCUCUGGUUUGACAAAGUAUGUUG
This is a non-coding RNA of Lolium perenne, 959 nucleotides long. Lineage: Eukaryota; Viridiplantae; Streptophyta; Magnoliopsida; Poales; Poaceae. The record is from RefSeq and is a predicted model, not a curated record.